GGGUGUGCGUUGCGAGCUGGACAUUCGUGUGGCAUUCAAACGCUGUAGCGGAGGUAGUUACCAUGGAAACGGGGCGGCACCAGGAACUGACAAGCAGCAAGCUUUGUUUCUGACGGUUUUCUUCAGUGUUUUCAGAUAUGGUCAGAAAGUUGUUUUUCUGAUUUCAUGAGUGACAAAAUAACACAUUGAAGAGAAUGUUGAGAUUUCAACACUUCUUAGGGGGGUUACAGAGAGGUAGACUUGAGGGUGAGUUGAGAAAGCUACAAUCAUUAAAUCACCUUUUUUUUUUACAACAUUUGACCAUGCAUAUUUACCGCACGUUUUUUCUCAUUUUUUUUUUUACAGUUACACAUGAGUGACAUUGAAUUAGCAAUACUAAAUGAAUAAGUAAACCUAAAAUGCUUAAAUUCUGUUAUUUUAGCAAAUUUAUUUUUGUAUAUUUUCUGAAUACUAUACUUUUUGUUUUCAGUGUUUUGUCUUUACUCUUGUUUGUUUUCUUUUAAUGAAUCUGGAACUGCAUACUAAAUUUUCUUGACUCUACAUGUUAUGUUUGUAGAUUCUUCCUCGCUGAUGGCCAAGCAGCAGAGGUGGAGCAGACCUCCUGUCAGAAAACAUAUCUAAAGCGCUGUAAACCAUAUGACUAAAACCACAAACAUAUAUACACUACUGUUUAAAUGUUUUAGUUUAUGAUUUUAGUUUAGUUUAGUUGGACAAAAAAUACAGCAUAAACUGAAAUAUUGUUAAAUAUUAUCACUAUUUAAAUGAGAUGUUUUUUAUGUGAAUAUGUAGCAAAGUGUUUUAUUUCUGUGAUGUUAGGCUGAAUGUUCAGCAUCAGUAGUCAAUUAUUCAGUGUCCCAUGAAUUUUUCUUGAGCAGCAAAUCAGCGUAUUAGAAUGAUAAAUAAGCCAAGUAAGAUCACAAAACUUUGGACUAGUCCAUCAUACUGAAAGCAUUUUACUCAUAGACUCUCCCACUUUGAAACUAGAUUUAAUCACAUCUUUUUAGUCAAGCAUUCACAUAACACAUCUUGUAACCUUGUUCUCCAGUAAUGAAAGUUUUUUCCGGGGGCGGAGUCCGGCACGCAAAUUUCAUUUGCCAAUUUCAUUGGCCUGUUUCAAAACCAGUCGAAGUGAUCGGUUCUCAAGGCCAAACCCCAUCUGUCGGUUCGACACAACAUCGAGAGACCGACAGAAAGGGAACCGUGUUUCAGACAAAACCUUAAAUUAAGUAGUAUUUCAUACCUUUACUAUUUUUGUUUCUUCUUCAGAAAUUGCAUCACUGCUAUGCUGUGAUUAAAUUUCCUGAAGAUAACACUGUUAAUGUUGAGCCUCCCACGUGGCUUGGUAUAACAAAUGAGGCUGUGUAUAGCUAUUGGCCAUGUAAAAACUUUACAGCCAAGGUGAAACGAAGAGAUAGACAUAAUUCUACACUUUGGUCGCAGCAUGUUGCAGCUGUUCUGGUAUAUGCAGUUAUGAAGGAUUUGUUCGAGGUUUCUUAUGUUUUUGUGGUUUAUGCUGAUUGUCUUUUAGUGAUCUAUUCUUUAUUUCCAGACAGCUAUGAAGAAGCUAGGUGCAAAAUAAACCAAGCAACCAUGACUUCAAACUUGACAGCUAUGAAGAAGCUAGGUGCAAAAUAAACCAAGCAACCAUGACUUCAAACUUGAUGAGGAAGGAAAGACCAUCAGCACCAAAGACAUGCAUUCCAAGCACACCUAUAUGGAUUCCUGAGGCCACAGACCAGCCCCAACCCAGCCUGAUGUAUUAAAUGUUCUUCCAUGCACCAUCGAGGGGACCAGGGCCCGCAGGCCAGCUUCAUUCCAGACUGAUGCUCCUCCCUGCACUGCCGUGGACUGAUGUACCAACACACCCUGCCUCAUUUUACUUAAUAUCAAUGCUAUAUAAUUAUUUGAUCUAUUUUUACUAAAUUUGUGUGCUUUGCAACAAUGCAAAUUUUGAAAUUGAGUUAAAUGUAAAAAUAAAAUAUUAAUUUUAUUUAAUAUUUGUAAUGUCAAUAAAUACUCUUUGAACCCGUUUAAAAAAUAUGUUGAUUUGGAGACGGUAACGUCGUGUCAGGUCGUCACGUGGGUCCCCGCACUGUUAGAUGCUCAAAGCUCAAGACGUUCGGUUAGACAUAACAUACAAUAUAUUUUUAGAGUUAUUGUACAAUCCUUUUAUGUAAUUUAAAUAUUUGAUUGUUGGUUUCCUUGUACUUUCUUCUGUCUUUUUCCAGUUUUAAAAACAAUUUGUUGAAUAUUUUGUUUUGAAAUAUCAUCACUUGUUGUGCUAUACAAGUUCCGGUUGAUAUGGAAACAGGGCAUGACUGGGCAUGUGUAUUGGCUGUCAAGAAAAUAAAUAAUUAGUGUUUUAAAAUUCUUA
Molecule: long non-coding RNA, 2374 nt
Organism: Triplophysa dalaica
Lineage: Eukaryota; Metazoa; Chordata; Actinopteri; Cypriniformes; Nemacheilidae
Exons: 6
Source: RefSeq, a predicted model, not a curated record